UAUCUUAGGUCCCUUGAGAAGAAAGUAAGUCCCGUGUGCAGUCCUUUGAAAUGUCCAAGAGAGAUCCUGGUUCUGAGAAUGGCAGUCUCCUUGCAGUGCGUGGAGGAGCUCCCGGCUGCCUUCCCGGCGAUGGGACUUCCCUCCUCCGCCGGGUGCGCCCCUCACAUCGCCGCCCCCCCCCGCCGCUCCUUCC
Aquila chrysaetos chrysaetos is the source of this 193-nucleotide long non-coding RNA. RefSeq lists it as uncharacterized. The record is from RefSeq and is a predicted model, not a curated record. Lineage: Eukaryota; Metazoa; Chordata; Aves; Accipitriformes; Accipitridae. The transcript is spliced from 3 exons.